UAACGCUAGCGGCAGGCUAAUACAUGCAAGUCGAACGGUAACAGGUCCAGCAAUGGAUGCUGACGAGUGGCGCACGGGUGCGUAACACGUAUGCAAUCUACCCUUUAACUGGGGGAUAGCCCCGAGAAAUCGGGAUUAAUACCCCAUAAUAUUAUGAUGAGGCAUUUCAUUAUAAUUAAAGCUCCGGCGGUUUUGGAUGAGCAUGCGCGACAUUAGCUAGUUGGUGAGGUAACGGCUCACCAAGGCGACGAUGUCUAGGGGUUCUGAGAGGAUUCACCCCCACACUGGUACUGAGACACGGACCAGACUCCUACGGGAGGCAGCAGUAAGGAAUAUUGGUCAAUGGACGCAAGUCUGAACCAGCCAUGCCGCGUGAAGGAUGACGGCCCUACGGGUUGUAAACUUCUUUUGUACGGGAAAAAACCCCUGGUCGUGUACCGGGGCUGAUGGUACCGUAAGAAUAAGCAUCGGCUAACUCCGUGCCAGCAGCCGCGGUAAUACGGAGGAUGCAAGCGUUAUCCGGAUUCAUUGGGUUUAAAGGGUGCGCAGGCGGAAUGAUAAGUCAGUGGUGAAAUCCUACAGCUUAACUGUAGAACUGCCAUUGAUACUAUCGUUCUUGAGUACAUUUGAAGUGGGCGGAAUGUGUCAUGUAGCGGUGAAAUGCUUAGAUAUGACACAGAACACCGAUCGCGAAGGCAGCUCACUAAGUUGUAACUGACGCUCAGGCACGAAAGCGUGGGGAUCAAACAGGAUUAGAUACCCUGGUAGUCCACGCCGUAAACGAUGAUUACUCGAUGUUGGCGAUACACUGUCAGCGUCUAAGCG
RNAcentral lists this ribosomal RNA (825 nucleotides) under uncultured bacterium. RNAcentral's name for it is "bacterial SSU rRNA". It matches the Rfam family "Bacterial small subunit ribosomal RNA", at positions 31 to 853 of the family's 1533-position model. The record is from RNAcentral.